Molecule: non-coding RNA, 115 nt
Organism: Eremomyces bilateralis CBS 781.70
Lineage: Eukaryota; Fungi; Ascomycota; Dothideomycetes; Eremomycetales; Eremomycetaceae
Source: the annotation of a RefSeq genome assembly
GCUGCGGUGGCCGAGUGGUUAAGGCGGCAGAUUUAAGUUAUUGCCCUUUUGGGCGAUGGCAUUGAAAUAAAACCUGCUGGAGCAGUCCACGCGAGUUCGAACCUCGUCCGCAGCA